RNAcentral lists this ribosomal RNA (498 nucleotides) under uncultured bacterium. RNAcentral describes it as "partial 16S ribosomal RNA". It matches the Rfam family "Bacterial small subunit ribosomal RNA", at positions 30 to 523 of the family's 1533-position model. The record is from RNAcentral.
AUUGAACGCUGGCGGCAUGCUUUACACAUGCAAGUCGAACGGCAGCGCGGGGCAACCUGGCGGCGAGUGGCGAACGGGUGAGUAAUACAUCGGAACGUACCCAGAGGUGGGGGAUAACGUAGCGAAAGUUACGCUAAUACCGCAUACGUUCUACGGAAGAAAGUGGGGGAUCUUCGGACCUCAUGCUUUUGCAGCGGCCGAUGUCUGAUUAGCUAGUUGGUGAGGUAAAGGCUCACCAAGGCGACGAUCAGUAGCUGGUCUGAGAGGACGACCAGCCACACUGGGACUGAGACACGGCCCAGACUCCUACGGGAGGCAGCAGUGGGGAAUUUUGGACAAUGGGCGCAAGCCUGAUCCAGCAAUGCCGCGUGAGUGAAGAAGGCCUUCGGGUUGUAAAGCUCUUUUGUCAGGGAAGAAACGGCUGGGGCUAAUAUCCCCGGCUAAUGACGGUACCUGAAGAAUAAGCACCGGCUAACUACGUGCCAGCAGCCGCCGUAA